UGGGGAAUAUUGGACAAUGGGGGCAACCCUGAUCCAGCGACGCCGCGUGUGUGAAGAAGGCCUGCGGGUUGUAAAGCACUUUUAGUGGGGACAAAAAGCCACGGGCUAAUACUCUGUGGUCUUGAUUUAACCCAAAGAAAAAGCACCGGCUAACUCUGUGCCAGCAGCCGCGGUAAUACAGAGGGUGCAAGCGUUAAUCGGAAUUACUGGGCGUAAAGCGAGCGUAGUCGGUUAUUUAAGUCGGAUGUGAAAUCCCCGGGCUCAACCUGGGAAUUGCAUUCGAUACUGGAUAGCUAGAGUUCGGCAGAGGGAAGCGGAAUUUCUGGUGUAGCGGUGAAAUGCGUAGAUAUCAGAAGGAACAUCAGUGGCGAAAGCGGCUUCCUGGACCAGAACUGACGAUCAGGCUCGAAAGCGUGGGGAGCAAACAGG
RNAcentral lists this ribosomal RNA (429 nucleotides) under uncultured bacterium. RNAcentral describes it as "bacterial SSU rRNA". It matches the Rfam family "Bacterial small subunit ribosomal RNA", at positions 355 to 776 of the family's 1533-position model. The record is from RNAcentral.